GAUGAACGCUGGCGGCGCGCCUAACACAUGCAAGUCGAACGGUUAAAGCACCUUUUGGGUGUGUAUAAAGUGGCGAACGGCUGAGUAACACGUGGGCAACCUGCCCUCCUCUUGGGGAUAGCCUCGGGAAACCGAGGAUAAUACCCGAUACUUCAAUGUGGCCGCAUGACGACAUUGAGAAAGCUUUUGCGGAGAAGGAUGGGCCCGCGGCCUGUUAGCUUGUUGGUGGGGUAGAGGCCUACCAAGGCAAUGAUGGGUAGCUGGGUUGAGAGACCGACCAGCCAGAUUGGGACUGAGACACGGCCCAGACUCCUACGGGAGGCAGCAGUGGGGAAUCUUGCACAAUGGGCGAAAGCCUGAUGCAGCGACGCCGCGUGCGGGACGAAGGCCUUCGGGUUGUAAACCGCUUUCAGCAGGGACGAGGCGAUAAGUGACGGUACCUGCAGAAGAAGCCCCGGCUAACUACGUG
Molecule: ribosomal RNA, 469 nt
Filed under: uncultured bacterium
Lineage: Bacteria
Description: partial 16S ribosomal RNA
Rfam family: Bacterial small subunit ribosomal RNA
Source: RNAcentral